Molecule: ribosomal RNA, 253 nt
Filed under: uncultured bacterium
Lineage: Bacteria
Description: partial 16S ribosomal RNA
Rfam family: Bacterial small subunit ribosomal RNA
Source: RNAcentral
UACGGGGGGAGCAAGCGUUGUUCGGAUUUACUGGGCGUAAAGGGCGCGUAGGCGGCGUGACAAGUCACUUGUGAAAUCUCCGGGCUUAACUCGGAACGGUCAAGUGAUACUGUCGUGCUAGAGUACAGAAGGGGCAACUGGAAUUCUCGGUGUAGCGGUGAAAUGCGUAGAUAUCGAGAGGAACACCGGUGGCGAAGGCGGCUUCCUGGACCGACACUGACGCUGAGGCGCGAAAGCUAGGGGAGCAAACGGG